RNAcentral lists this ribosomal RNA (253 nucleotides) under uncultured bacterium. RNAcentral describes it as "partial 16S ribosomal RNA". It matches the Rfam family "Bacterial small subunit ribosomal RNA", at positions 524 to 776 of the family's 1533-position model. The record is from RNAcentral.
UACGGAGGGAGCAAGCGUUGUCCGGAAUCAUUGGGCGUAAAGCGCGCGUAGGCGGCCCGGUAAGUCCGCUGUGAAAGCCCCAGGCUCAACCUGGGAAAGCCGGUGGAUACUGCCGGGCUAGAGUCCGGAAGAGGUGAGUGGAAUUCCUGGUGUAGCGGUGGAAUGCGCAGAUAUCAGGAGGAACACCAACGGCGAAGGCAGCUCGCUGGGACGGUACUGACACUGAGGCGCGAAAGCGUGGGGAGCGAACAGG